This 75-nucleotide transfer RNA is filed under the name Saccharolobus islandicus. RNAcentral describes it as "tRNA-Arg". It matches the Rfam family "tRNA". Rfam says of the family: Transfer RNA (tRNA) molecules are approximately 80 nucleotides in length. RNAcentral also lists the same sequence under 12 other names. Lineage: Archaea; Thermoproteati; Thermoproteota; Thermoprotei; Sulfolobales; Sulfolobaceae. The record is from RNAcentral.
GGACCCGUAGCUCAGCCAGGAUAGAGCACUGGCCUCCGGAGCCGGUGGUCCCGGGUUCAAAUCCCGGCGGGUCCG